This 503-nucleotide ribosomal RNA is filed under the name uncultured bacterium. Its description in RNAcentral is "bacterial SSU rRNA". It matches the Rfam family "Bacterial small subunit ribosomal RNA", at positions 8 to 524 of the family's 1533-position model. The record is from RNAcentral.
AGAGUUUGAUCCUGGCUCAGGAUGAACGCUGACAGAAUGCUUAACACAUGCAAGUCUACUUGAUUUAAAACUUCGGUUUUAUUGAAGGUGGCGGACGGGUGAGUAACGCGUAAAGAAUCUGCCCUGUAGUCUGGGAUAACAGUUGGAAACGACUGCUAAUACCGGAUAUUAUGAAUUGGUCGCAUGACCAGCUUAUGAAAGCUAUAUGCGCUAGAGGAGGACUUUGCGUCCCAUUAGCUAGUUGGUGAGGUAACGGCUCACCAAGGCGACGAUGGGUAGCCGGCCUGAGAGGGUGAUCGGCCACAAGGGGACUGAGACACGGCCCUUACUCCUACGGGAGGCAGCAGUGGGGAAUAUUGGACAAUGGACCAAAAGUCUGAUCCAGCAAUUCUGUGUGCACGAUGAAGGUCUUAGGAUUGUAAAGUGCUUUCAGUGGGGAAGAAGUCAGUGACGGUACCCACAGAAGAAGCGACGGCUAAAUAUGUGCCAGCAGCCGCGGUAAU